GUUUCCGGGGUCAUCAGACGUUAACGGAACGAUGGCUUUUCCUUCGACGCCAUGGACUGGAGGUGAUGUUCUUCAGCUCGUUUCUCCAUUUCCAUGAAUUGCUGGUCAGUCUUCUUAAACGCUUCUUGCAGCUCAUCUAGGAUGCUAGCCACGCUACCCUCGAGCGCAGAGAUCCUAUCGGAGUUAAAAUCUUGCUUAGGCGGGAUGAUUAGGCUCUGAUACCAAUGAUAAGCCCUAAGAUUUAGGGUUUAUCUACGUGACAGAAAUGGGAAAGGGAGAGAGAGAAGAUAAGAUAAGAAGAUAGAGUUUUGAUUAAUUAUUUAAUGUUUCCCAUACACAUAACGUGAAUUUAGUAGCCAUAAUGUAAACCCAAAACGACAUAAUAUUAAUUAUUAAGACCCUCUCUCUCACUCAGAGUCUUUCCUUCACUUCAACUCUUCUACACUUCAGCCACUUCUCUGUCUCUUAGUCCUCG
Molecule: long non-coding RNA, 475 nt
Filed under: Brassica napus (rape)
Lineage: Eukaryota; Viridiplantae; Streptophyta; Magnoliopsida; Brassicales; Brassicaceae
Description: long non-coding RNA (BNAP_LNC007619)
Source: RNAcentral